Molecule: ribosomal RNA, 247 nt
Filed under: uncultured bacterium
Lineage: Bacteria
Description: partial 16S ribosomal RNA
Rfam family: Bacterial small subunit ribosomal RNA
Source: RNAcentral
AUACGGAGGGUGCGAGCGUUAUUCGGAAUUAUUGGGCGUAAAGAGCGCGUAGGCGGCCUUACAAGUCAGGUGUGAAAUCCCGGGGCUCAACCCCGGAAGGGCAUUUGAUACUGCAGGGCUUGAGUAUGGGAGAGGGAAGUGGAAUUCCUGGUGUAGCGGUGAAAUGCGUAGAUAUCAGGAGGAACACCGGUGGCGAAGGCGGCUUCCUGGACCAAUACUGACGCUGAGGCGCGAAGGCGUGGGGAGC